ACGAACGCUGGCGGCGUGCUUAACACAUGCAAGUCGAACGGAAAGGCCCUGCUUUUGUGGGGUGCUCGAGUGGCGAACGGGUGAGUAACACGUGAGUAACCUGCCCUUGACUUUGGGAUAACUUCAGGAAACUGGGGCUAAUACCGGAUAGGAGCUCCUGCUGCAUGGUGGGGGUUGGAAAGUUUCGGCGGUUGGGGAUGGACUCGCGGCUUAUCAGCUUGUUGGUGGGGUAGUGGCUUACCAAGGCUUUGACGGGUAGCCGGCCUGAGAGGGUGACCGGCCACAUUGGGACUGAGAUACGGCCCAGACUCCGACGGGAGGCAGCAGUGGGGAAUAUUGCACAAUGGGCGGAAGCCUGAUGCAGCAACGCCGCGUGCGGGAUGGCGGCCUUCGGGUUGUAAACCGCUUUCGCCUGUGACGAAGCGUGAGUGACGGUAAUGGGUAAAGAAGCACCGGCUAACUACGUG
RNAcentral lists this ribosomal RNA (467 nucleotides) under uncultured bacterium. RNAcentral describes it as "partial 16S ribosomal RNA". It matches the Rfam family "Bacterial small subunit ribosomal RNA", at positions 29 to 507 of the family's 1533-position model. The record is from RNAcentral.